CACCGCGGCCAUACGAGUGUUAGCCCAAGUGGACGGUCAACGGCGUAAAGGGUGGUUAGGGAACCCUAAAACUAAAGCUGAACACCCACAGAGCUGUUAUACGCAUCCGGCAGCAUGAAACCCCGCCACGAAAGUGACUUUAACCCAACCCGAACCCACGACAGCUAGGACA
RNAcentral lists this ribosomal RNA (172 nucleotides) under Triphoturus mexicanus (Mexican lampfish). Its description in RNAcentral is "partial 12S rRNA". The record is from RNAcentral. Lineage: Eukaryota; Metazoa; Chordata; Actinopteri; Myctophiformes; Myctophidae.